This is a non-coding RNA of Trichobilharzia regenti, 46 nucleotides long. NCBI's taxonomy places the organism in Eukaryota, Metazoa, Platyhelminthes, Trematoda, Strigeidida, Schistosomatidae. The record is from Rfam.
GCACUGAUGAACAGUCCCAAACUAGGGCGAAACAGCUGUCCAGUAC